AACUGCAUAUAAGAACCAGGUACUAUGCUGAUUGACAGCAUUGUUUUACAGGGAAGUCCGGUGAGAUUCCGGCAUUGUCUCGCAACUGUGAAGGGAAGUCAUACUGUCGCAGUCCUCUUACAAAGGGAUGGUAUGGUAAUGAUCCUAAGUCAGGGUACUGACGGGUUUUCCUAUCAUUC
Sporomusa sp. An4 is the source of this 179-nucleotide regulatory RNA element. Lineage: Bacteria; Bacillati; Bacillota; Negativicutes; Selenomonadales; Sporomusaceae. The record is from Rfam.